CUCCGAUGACCAUUUUGUGGCCCCUCUCCGGUGGGGGGAAACAUGGUCGUCGUUUGCUAGGGUCCCAACGUCGGCGGGAGGCUGCAGGGACUUCUCAGUGGGCGGAGGAACCGGAGGAGGGGGCAGCUCUGUGGCCAAUUUCAUUCUGAAAAGUGAAAUCUGGCAGAGAACCGCGAAAAAAAUGUGAGUAAACACUAACUGGGGCAAAUUGAAGAUAAUGCGUCAUACCUGCUUGGCUGUGUGGCUCCCGUCUGAGCGUUCCAUCCUUGGGCGAUUUCUUCUUGCUUCUGCAUCUGUGCGUCAUGGGGCUCAAAUCGCCGACUGACGAGAGUGCAAAUAUCAGCCUCCAGGAUCAUAGAGUGGAGAAAAAAAAAAAUGCAGCGGCCUAAUUGCAACUGACCUUUGUAGAGGCCGUCGCCCCUCAAGGUUUCCGCCCAGCGGGUGGCGCUGUGGGGCGUCUCGCCAUUUUUUGUGAACAGAUCCGGGUUGGACUGGGAGAAGUGGGAGUGCUGACGGGCCAGCAGGUCCACGUGCUGCGGUCGGGUGUUGUCGGCGGAGUUCAACGCAUCCCGCUGAGGGGAGGACGUGGCCGAGUGGAGGGCGGAGGAAGCUUCGUCCAUCAGAAAUCCUGACCGAGGGUCCCCCGAUGACUCGGCAGUGCAGACGGGCCGUGGCACCCAGGGACAGCGUGUGAUUGGCUGGGCCUUGGCGAAUGAUUGGCGGGAUCUGGAUUGAAGGGCCUUACUCAGCACGCUACCCGCCACACUGAUGGCUUGGCAGAUGUAGAAGCCAGAGUCCUCCGGGUGGACGUCGGUAAUGGUCAGCUCGCCUUUCAUGGACACGGAGUAACGGCCUGACUGGGAUGGCGGUUGGCCAGGGAACAGCAACAUCUGGAAACACAGCAACAUGACAGCAUGCGGACACCAACGGUUCGGGGUGACCGCGCGGGGGGACGCACUCCAAGACGGCGGGCUCGCCGGCAGCCACCACCACGUCGCUCGGCGCUUGACGGAAAUCAUCUCGGAGUACUGCGGAGGAAAAAACCCCACCAGAACUAAUUACAUGGGUGAGAAGCAGGCGGCCAUAUUGCUGGCAAAACAUUUGUUGGAAUUGUUUAGUCUUGAUUUGCGUGACUUUCUCCUGUAGCGUUUUUCU
Molecule: long non-coding RNA, 1155 nt
Organism: Syngnathus typhle (broad-nosed pipefish)
Lineage: Eukaryota; Metazoa; Chordata; Actinopteri; Syngnathiformes; Syngnathidae
Exons: 5
Source: RefSeq, a predicted model, not a curated record